Molecule: ribosomal RNA, 203 nt
Filed under: Vibrio parahaemolyticus
Lineage: Bacteria; Pseudomonadati; Pseudomonadota; Gammaproteobacteria; Vibrionales; Vibrionaceae
Description: partial 16S ribosomal RNA
Rfam family: Bacterial small subunit ribosomal RNA
Source: RNAcentral
GAGGGUGCGAGCGUUAAUCGGAAUUACUGGGCGUAAAGCGCAUGCAGGUGGUUUGUUAAGUCAGAUGUGAAAGCCCGGGGCUCAACCUCGGAAUUGCAUUUGAAACUGGCAGACUAGAGUACUGUAGGAGGGGGGUAGAAUUUCAGGUGUAGCGGUGAAAUGCGUAGAGAUCUGAAGGAAUACCGGUGGCGAAGGCGGCCCCC